GAUUUUCUGUGUAACUGUACUCGAAAGAAAUGUCUGUCUGUGUACUGUGUAUAUAAUACAAGGAUAUGGAAAUUCCUAAGGAACCUAACAUAACUAAGAAAUAAUCAAACGGUAAAGAAUGAAAUAAGAACUGUAAUGAAGGCAAAAGUGAAAGAGUUCAACUGAGGUGAACCAUUCCCUGAAGAUGAUGGCUCCCCAAAUACAUUAGGAUUGUUGCUAUUCCCUGCGGUGGCUUCUGGAUUCACUGUUGUAGAUGGUGAUCCUCCAGGAGUUAUUGGGUUGACAGGUAGGAUGUUGGUGUCUAAAAGAUCAUAACAGUUUGAUGGCUUCCAACCCAAUACAUUCCUUUCACGAUCAAAAACUAUGCGAUAACCCGUCAUGAAAUUUUGUCCAAU
Molecule: unclassified non-coding RNA, 395 nt
Filed under: Hevea brasiliensis (rubber tree)
Lineage: Eukaryota; Viridiplantae; Streptophyta; Magnoliopsida; Malpighiales; Euphorbiaceae
Source: RNAcentral